UACGGAGGGUGCAAGCGUUAUCCGGAUUCACUGGGUUUAAAGGGUGCGUAGGUGGGUUUGUAAGUCAGUGGUGAAAUCUCCAAGCUUAACUUGGAAACUGCCGUUGAUACUAUAAAUCUUGAAUGUUGUUGGAGGUGAGCGGAAUAUGUCAUGUAGCGGAUGAAAUGCUUAGAUAUGACAUAGAACACCAAUUGCGAAGGCAGCUCACUACACAAAGAUU
RNAcentral lists this ribosomal RNA (220 nucleotides) under uncultured bacterium. RNAcentral's name for it is "partial 16S ribosomal RNA". It matches the Rfam family "Bacterial small subunit ribosomal RNA", at positions 524 to 741 of the family's 1533-position model. The record is from RNAcentral.